CAAGAGUACGUGAAACCGUUCAGGGGUAAACCUGAGAAACCCAAAAGAUCGAAUGGGGAGAUUCAUCGUCAGCUCAUUUUGUAUAUAUAUAAGUUGUGAUACGGGUUACUACUUGUAGUAUUGCCUGUACACUCUUGUAUAUUUAGUUGCAAGAUGUUGUCGGCGUGCACUUCUCCCCUAGUAGGACAUCGCGACCCGUUAAGUUUUCGUCAGCCUACGGCCCGAGUGGUAGACUUUGAUUUUUUUAUUAAAUCAGAGACCCUUGGUGUUUUCUGGCUGGCACUUGACGGUAUUCGUACGGUAUUAAGCCGCAUAAUUAUAUGCGUCCAUAUCCGUCGCAAGCAAGGUCAAUUUUAUUAGUAGUACGGACCUAGUGCCGUCGCUAUAAUUGAUCAGCUGUUGGUUGUACGGUAUUCUAGGACUGGCUUUAAAAUAAAAUACCGGUCAGCGAUGCUACUGCUUUGGGUACUUUCAGGACCCGUCUUGAAACACGGACCAAGUUUUAUUA
Molecule: ribosomal RNA, 508 nt
Filed under: Exodontiella sp. RAW-2006
Lineage: Eukaryota; Metazoa; Arthropoda; Insecta; Hymenoptera; Braconidae
Description: eukaryotic LSU rRNA
Source: RNAcentral